Solenopsis invicta (red fire ant) is the source of this 3260-nucleotide long non-coding RNA. RefSeq lists it as uncharacterized. NCBI's taxonomy places the organism in Eukaryota, Metazoa, Arthropoda, Insecta, Hymenoptera, Formicidae. The transcript has 3 exons. The record is from RefSeq and is a predicted model, not a curated record.
GUGCCGCUCGGCGUGUGUGUCGUCGCCGUCUCGCCGUCUCUCCGUCUCUCGCGAGCGCGCCAAGAGUGAGGUGUUGCGUAUACAAGUCGCACGCGACGCACCCGCAAUUAAGUUAAUCCGCGAUUGAUCAAUGUGAACGCGACGUAUCGAACCGACCGUUAUACAUUACGGGCAAGUAUUUCCCUCGUUUCGAAUGGAAGUGAGAACAAUUCGCAGAUCUUCGCCAAGGGUCCUCGUCGUUGCCGCACGCCGGCCGCGUAGUUUCUCGAAUGGGGGGCGUGGCGUCUGGGUUCGAGUGUGCCACAGGGACUCGAAAGUGAGCCCCUCGCGCGGAAAAGACGCGACUCGCCCGCCCUCACUCCUCACCUGCUCCCGUAAUUAGUGCGAUACAAAACAGUGCGAUACGCAUCGAUCGUUAUUCAUUGUCAAUAAUGUGUACGUUUUGCGUUUAACUUGUGUCGCGGUUAAAACAUCACGCUUCGAUCGCGUAUUUCUGAAUCGAUCGUUGCGUCUUAAUCAGCGUCGGCGUUGAUUCGCGUAACGUCGCGCGAUUUUGGAGUGAAUUUGCCGCUCUCCGGCGAGGCACUCGACCACCACUCUAGACUUUACGAGAUUACGAAUGCCAAAAAAGUUAUAGCUACGCACAAUCCACACAUUCCGCGUUAUUGUUCCGUCGCGUCGAGUGCUAGUAAUAUCGGUGUCGUGUGAAAUGCCGGAUUAUCGUCGCGUUCCGGUAAGUAGUGUGCACGCGCUGGCAGUCGGCCAGGUUAUGGCGAACUUCAGAAGAACGUCGCGUCCGGCGGAGGGACGCCUCUCGUCUUAGCUCGUAAGGGUCGUUGCGAUAGCUGGAGUGUGAAUACAUUGCGUGACCUUCGAAAAGUUUCCGUCGCUCUGAAGCUUUCGUCGAUCGUCGCAUCGUUCAGACCAAUUUCGCAGCUGCCGAAAGAGUCGUGGCUACGCACAAUCCGCACAUUCCGCACUGUUGUUUCGUCGCGUCGCGUACCAGUGAUAUCGGAGUCGUGCGGAAUGCCCGAUAAUCGUCGCGUAGCGGUAAUAGCGCUAGUGCUAAUCUUAAACUUUAUUCUCGCGAGUGAUCAGUGUUUUGGUGAUUGCCAUGGAUGUGCAACGGUGCGGCGGAGGGACGAGAGGAGAGGAGAGAAGGAAGCGGUCAGGAUGGCAUCAGGCAACAGCGGAGCAACCCUUGGAUUGAUGUAGCUGUGUUACAAUUCCGCUGCUGCGCAUCGGUCUGAGUUGGGCGUCUCGGGGAGCGAGGAUGAAAAAGGCACUUCCAAGGAACUCGACAAAGAACGCCUUUAAAUUCACAGUCCUGAGACCAAAUGGAGUCGAAGGGAAGUGCAGCCGGCCGAAUUAACAGCGCCGCGUUUUUCUCCUCGUAUUCUCAAGGUAAGAUCUAUUCCACUUAUACAAUUAUCUCCUUAAUUGCACUGCUCUUUGCUUCACCGCCGCAUAAGAACUUAUCUACACGAUAUACCGACGAGAUGGGAUAAUUACAAAUUAACCCAGUUGAGGUGUCGUCCUCGAAUAAUGUUUUGCCACGACGUCCUCGUCCUGACUACGCCAUUUGUCUUUAUUUACGACGAUGGAAUCAACGCGAGUCUAUUGAAGAACGAGAGAUAAUGCAUUUCCAACAGCUUUAUAUAGAUAUACGAAUCUGAUUAAUGGCGAAAAUUAAUGGCGGCCAUUAAAACGUUUUCCUCUUACUACCAAUCGAAAUUUCUCGAUCGAGAGAAAUCCAAGAUUAAUUAAUAUGAAUUAAAAUGAAUCUCAAGUAUCGCAAAUGUUAGAUAUGAAUAAUCCUUUUCUAUUUCAUAUUUAAAGGUACGUUGAAUAAAAGCUAGAGAUUUCACUUUUUUAGCUGUUGAUUCAAGCAAAAAAUUUAUAGCAAAAAUAUUUCUCAGAUUAUUUAGACAAAUAAUUAUUUGUGCUAUUAAUAGAAAAAAUGUUUAUAUUUUGUGAAUUUAAGUAUCAACCCAGACGCAGUUACGGCUAUCGAGGCUUUAAAGUCUGAUAUUCACUGGAGCGAAUGAGCCACGUAGCUGUCGUAAAAAAGAGCGGCAUGUAUCGUAAACCAAAUCACAAUUUGCCCAAAGUAAUCCUAUUCGUCUGAAAGUCGAUAAAAACGUCGAGUAUCAAACCAGCAUGAAUUCUUCUGCUUCUUUCAAACAUGUAGCAUAUAUUUCGCAUGCAUUAAUUUCAACGAGUCAUAAUUCUGAUAAUAUAUGCUAAACAUUUUAAUAAAAAACCAUAUAUUUCACAAUCAAACUGUAAUAUUAUUCCUGAGAGAUUGGUAAGAAUUUUAAAGCACUCAAUACGUUUGCAAUCUCCACUAUUCUAUUUCGUAUUCAUGAAAAAAGGCAAUUCACUUAAUGUAACCAAUCGUUUUAUCACAUAAUUUUACAUUUAUAAAGUUUUUUUUUCAAAAUAAAGCUGCAUGGAGUAAUUAAUAUAAUUCAAUUCCUUAGACUCAAAAUUAAUCUAAAUUUUAUGUUUUUUAAUCCAUUAUAAAAAAUUAAUGUAGUUAAACGUUUUUAAGAAUUUGUCAUCGUUAAAAAAUUCUUAGUAGAAGAAAAUAUUAAAAAUAUACGAUGCAAAAACUCGCUCUCCUUCGUCUCCUCCGUCUUCGUAGAAAAAUCCCGUAAAAUAUAACACAAAUUACAAUUAAUGCGAUAGCGUGGAAUACCUUUUUUGCGUGUUAUACGGAAGCUAUGCGGUCUACUAAAGCGCGCACCUAAAAAAAUCACACGACUAUUCGAUCGUUAGUAACACCGGUGCCGGAACGAUAAAUAUCGAUAAAGAAGGUCGAUUGCUAUAUAUAAAUGCAGCGCCUUCCGUUAUUGCGGAUUCUUGUUAGCUCGAGUCAGGAUUACGAAAGGAAAAACGAGGAAACUUCUUUGUCGCCAAGAAAACGGCUCCGUUCGAGAGCUAUUAAUCGAUCCGAACGGUCUUCGAAGCGCUUUAAAGUCAUCAAAACUUCUUCGCAAUCCUAGCGUCGAGUAUCGUCGGACGGACUUCCGUUAAUCGUUCUUAAUUACUUCGAAAGAAAAACGUACUCGGGCGUCGUUAGGCGUAUUCCAUUGAACCCUGGUAGAUUCCCAUUGGAUGAAAACCAUCCGAAAAUACACCGCGAUAGAAAAAGUAGAAAGUAGAUAACGAAAACAAAAAGAAGCAAAGAGAAAGAAUUGAUACCAGAACUGCAGGUAACUAUAAUAGGAGAAAAAAAAUUAAAACUUUGUAAUCUA